Molecule: long non-coding RNA, 498 nt
Filed under: Felis catus (domestic cat)
Lineage: Eukaryota; Metazoa; Chordata; Mammalia; Carnivora; Felidae
Description: lncRNA (ENSFCAG00000049226.1)
Source: RNAcentral
AUGAGGUCUCCGCGUCCCACCACUGGGGAGAGAUGGUCAAGUGUGGGAGUUUCCAGAGAAGCCAAGCACGCCUACGUUACAAGUUGGAACAGGAUAUCACUCAGAAUUUGUAAAUGUGUAAAUAUUCUAAACACCCGAUUUUUUUCGUGUAACUGCUGGAAAAUGGAAAACUUUGUCUGGGCUCCCACUUGUGCCAGACGGAACCCGGGCUCACCUCUGCAUAGUCCUAAGGCUCAUCAUGGCUUUCAUCGGAUGCCCUACCAGCAGUCCUACAGCAGACCUCUGCUAGAGGCUCCCUCAGCCCCUUUUGCAGCACAGCCCCUCAACAUGGUCAGUUUCAGCUCUUCUGUGCUCUGCUGGAGGUAUGUCCGGUCUAGGACUGACAAGCUGAUGUGGGAAGAGUGCAGCGAGUUCCAUCUCACGGCUUCCAACCAAGGAAAGGAAAUGCUACCGUGCAAACGUUAUUUUAAAAUAGUAACUGUUUAUAUUCCAGCAUAA